GCCAACAUCCCUUUCCUAAAGAUUAAGUCUGGAGUGGUUCUCUGACUCAUCAUCCUCCCCAAGUCCCUGCUUCAGGAGAAGAAGGAGAAGAGAAAUUUGCUCUCAAUAGAAAGAGAGAUUACCAACAGACAGCAAGCAUGAAAACUGGGGCAGGAAAAGGACUCUCAGAUCCAUAGGACAAAAGAUACAGGAUAUUGGGAUAUUUCUACUUUGCUCCAAUUGCAAAAAGUCAACCUCUGACAACUGUGUGCCAGCCAUGAAUCAUCAGAAAUGGAAUACCUGAGCUGAAACAGUACCAAGAAUUGCUACAGUAGUUUGGGAGAAGACAAAAAAACAAGGAAA
Candoia aspera is the source of this 342-nucleotide long non-coding RNA. RefSeq lists it as uncharacterized. The transcript is spliced from 3 exons. Lineage: Eukaryota; Metazoa; Chordata; Lepidosauria; Squamata; Candoiidae. The record is from RefSeq and is a predicted model, not a curated record.